Long non-coding RNA from Orcinus orca (killer whale), 315 nucleotides. RefSeq lists it as uncharacterized. The record is from RefSeq and is a predicted model, not a curated record. The transcript is spliced from 2 exons. NCBI's taxonomy places the organism in Eukaryota, Metazoa, Chordata, Mammalia, Artiodactyla, Delphinidae.
GGAUGUGGAAUAUGCAAGAUCAUAGCAUGGGCUCAGAAGCACUUGGAGAACUAAAGAGCACCUUAGCCAGCAUCACCCUCCAGUUUUUUUUUGUUUUGUUUUGUUUUGCUUUGUUUUUUUGCAGUACGCGGGCCUCUCACUGUUGUGGCCUUUCCCGCUGCGGAGCACAGGCUCCGGAUGCGCAGGCUCAGCGGCCACGGCUCACGGGCCCAGCCACUCCGCGGCAUGUGGGAUCUUCCCGGACCGGGGCACGAACCCGCGUCCCCUGCAUCGGCAGGCAGACUCCCAACCACCGCGCCACCAGGGAAGCCCCCC